Molecule: microRNA precursor, 67 nt
Filed under: Bombyx mori (domestic silkworm)
Lineage: Eukaryota; Metazoa; Arthropoda; Insecta; Lepidoptera; Bombycidae
Description: mir-2774 microRNA precursor family
Rfam family: mir-2774 microRNA precursor family
Source: Rfam by way of RNAcentral
AAAACAUUUGGACCGUCGGUCUACCGAGCAAUAUCACCCGCUCGGUGAAAGAUGUUCCUUUCGUCUU